This 85-nucleotide microRNA precursor is filed under the name Mustela putorius furo (domestic ferret). RNAcentral's name for it is "miRNA (ENSMPUG00000023048.1)". Lineage: Eukaryota; Metazoa; Chordata; Mammalia; Carnivora; Mustelidae. The record is from RNAcentral.
UGCCCUGGAUUAGGCUUUGGCUUAAGGGAGUGUUGUAGCUGUUUUGAUCUUCUAUCCAGAGCACUGAAACUUUCUCCACAUCAGC